UAGUCUCGCACAGAUGCAUAUCAAUAAGCGGAGGAAAAGAAACUAACAAGGAUUCCCCUAGUAACGGCGAGUGAAGCGGGAAGAGCUCAAAUUUGAAAUCUUAAAGGGUUUCCCUUUACGAAUUGUAGUUUAAAGAAGUGUUUUCUGUUGAGGUUUUGGUAAAAGUUCUUUGGAAUAGGACAUCAUAGAGGGUGAGAAUCCCGUAUUUGACCUUUACUUUCAACUUUGUGAUACACUUUCAAAGAGUCGGAUUGUUUGGGAAUGCAGUCCAAAAUGGGUGGUAAAUUUCAUCUAAAGCUAAAUAUUGGCGAGAGACCGAUAGCGAACAAGUACCGUGAGGGAAAGAUGAAAAGAACUUUGAAAAGAGAGUUAAACAGUACGUGAAAGUUGUCAAAAGGGAAGCGUUUGACACCAGUGUUGUUUUUCUGAAAAUCAAUUAAAGAACUGUUUAUGCUAAGCUGUUUAGACUUUAUCAGCUAUCUGUUUAGUUUUGAGCUUUUCUUUAAUGCACUUUUCAGUUAACAAGUCAACAUCAAUUUCUUUUGCUGUAAAAAAGCUUGAGGAAGGUGGCUUGAGAUUCGUCUUAAGUGUUUAUAGCCUCUUGCCUAUGCAGUCGGAGAGAUUGAGGUCUGCAGCGUUAGAUCCUUCGGGGCUAAAUGCAUUUGUGCUAAGUUAUAGCAUUUCAUAGACAACUUGUUGACUAUGAUUUGUCUUGUAGCUUACACGCUUAUGUUAUUUUACCUACGCUUAGGAUGUUGAUCUGUAGUGCGUGCGC
This 775-nucleotide ribosomal RNA is filed under the name uncultured Neocallimastigales. Its description in RNAcentral is "partial large subunit ribosomal RNA". It matches the Rfam family "Eukaryotic large subunit ribosomal RNA", at positions 24 to 647 of the family's 3401-position model. The record is from RNAcentral. Lineage: Eukaryota; Fungi; Neocallimastigomycota; Neocallimastigomycetes; Neocallimastigales.